CCCUUAGAUGUUCUGGGCCGCACGCGUGCUACACUGAGUGGAUCAGCGGGUCAGGUUGCGCGAAAGUGUUUCCUAAUCUUGAAAUCCGCUCGUGAUGGGGAUUGACGGUUGCAAUUUUCCGUCAUGAACGAGGAAUACCUUGUAAGCGCGGGUCAUCAUCCCACGCUGAAUACGUCCCUGCCCUUUGUACACACCGCCCGUCGCUCCUACCGAUUGAGUGGUCCGGUGAGGCUUUGGGAUCUGAGCAAAGAGAGCGUUUCGCUCGUUUUGCCCGGAAAACUCAGUCGAACCUUAUCAUUUAGAGGAAGGAGAAGUCGUAACA
This 322-nucleotide ribosomal RNA is filed under the name uncultured eukaryote. RNAcentral describes it as "partial 18S ribosomal RNA". It matches the Rfam family "Eukaryotic small subunit ribosomal RNA", at positions 1470 to 1796 of the family's 1831-position model. The record is from RNAcentral.